Molecule: non-coding RNA, 38 nt
Filed under: Trypanosoma brucei brucei
Lineage: Eukaryota; Euglenozoa; Kinetoplastea; Trypanosomatida; Trypanosomatidae
Source: RNAcentral
AACGAGGAUAUAGAUCAGUGUAAAGAUGUAAUAAUUAU